AUUAAUCUAGUCCAUGCACUCAUGAUUUCUACCUGGUCUUUACAAUACUUUCUGACAGUAUAGCCAGUCUGCACUGAGAUGGGGAGUAAAAUGUAACAGUCCAGCACAUGGAACUCUGGAGAGCUAAUCUGCCUGGAUUGGAAUUCUUAAACUCCAGCUCUGACACCCAAUAGCUAUGUGUCCUUGGGCAAGUGACUUAACUUCUCUGUGCUCAGGUACCUUCUCUGUAAAACAGGGAGAAAUAAGAGCACCUACCUCUUGAAGUUGUGAGGAUUAAAUGAGCCUUGAGCCAAACAUGUGAAGUGCAUGGAACAAUGCCUGGUGUACAGUAAAAACUGUCUAAGUAUUAGUCAUCAUUAUUAUUGUCAUCUGUCUCUCCACAUCCAGUUUUCCCCUUCCUGAAAAUGGUUUAUAUAUAUUUUACAAGCUUUAUUUUGAAAUAAUUUUGGAUUUGCAAUAGAGUUGUGAAAAUGGUACAGAGUUUUCAUAUGCCCUUCAUUCAUCUUCCCUGAAUGUUAACAUCUUAUAGAACCAUGGUACAUCUAUCAAAACUAAGAAAUUAGUGUUAGUAUAAUACUAUUAACUGAACUACAGAAUUUAUUCAGAUUUCCCCAGGUUUUUUCCCACUAAUGUCUAUUUUUUGUUCCACAAUUUAAUCCAGGAUACAACAUUACAUUUAGUAGUGGAUUAUUUUCAAAUGCAGAUGGUCAAGUUGCAAUGCCCAGGAACAAUUUCUUGGCCUGCCAGACUCUUAGACCAGUGUCAAGUCCUCAACAAGGCCUAAGGGGCCCAUGCCUGCUUCUGCAGCCUCAUCUCACCCUGCUCUGAGGCUUCAAGGAGGAGCCACUGGGAUUUCCAAUCAUCCCCUGCUAUAGACUUUGCAUACUUGGGACCACUUUCGUGAUGGUUUAUAGUGCCUGAUUCACUCCCCAUUAGACUGUCAGCUCCUCCAGGGCAGGGAUCAUGUUGCUGUUGUUCUCUGCUAUAUCUCUGGCACCUAGAACAUGCCUGGUACCUGAUAGGCUUGUAAUGAAAAUGUGUUGAUUAACUCACAUCCUGUGCCACUUUCUGCCAAUCACUUCCCCUCUCUGGACCUCAGUUUUCUCAUCUGCAGACUGAGGAGUUUAAUUUGUUCACUGGUUUUCCAGUUGUGUUUUGGAAACCCUAGAAUUUCCUGGGCUCAACAGGAGCCACAUUUAAAGAGCAUGUGUUUUCAUGUGCUUGAAAAUUGGGCUUUUGAGAAAGAUAUCUCUUAAUGGAUUUUGAAGAUUCUGCUGCUUAAAAAGGUUUGAAAACGUGACAGAUUAUUGUAUAUUAUGAAUUACAUAUAGUUGCAUGAUUUUACAACUCCAUUAUUUAUUUAUUUAUUUUUGCAGGCAGUGGGGAGCCAUGGAAAGUUUCUGAACAGAGAAGCACUUAUUGGGAACUGUCAGAGCUAUGCUUCAGGAGAUGAAUCUGGCAACAACGUGGGUAGGAUGGACAGAUGAUGAUUGGUCAGUGAAGGAGGAGGGGAGUGAGGAGAGAGGGUUGUCAUGGAAGCCAAGUGAGAAGAGGAUUUAAUAGAGGAGGUGGAGGAGGUUGCUAACAGUGUCUGAUGCUGCAGAAAGCAGGUGGGGAUCAGAAGGGGUCUUUGGAAGCAGUGGCAAAACCACCAGUGACCUUUGAGAGAGGGAUGUUGGUGACUAGGCAGGGGCUGAACCCAGAUCAAAGUGGGAGGAGGAGCAACUGGAAGGUGAAAAAGCAGAGGCAGCAGGUAUCCUCUCUGCUUUUGAGAAGUUUGGUGGCGGACGGAAUGAGCAAGGUGGAUGAGAAGCUCGGAGAGGGUUAGCAAGACAGACCAAGAGGCUUAUUUUCUCCUUUUUCAUCGGAAAUCAAAAGCUACUGAGCAUCUUGUAGUCAGAAGGAAAAGAGCUAGUGGACAGUGAGGGAGUGGAGAAGCAAGUGUAAGAAGUGAAAUAGGGUGUCAUUUAUGGAGCAAGUCCUGGGUUGGGGGGCACUGAGGGUGGGAAGGGGUCAGCCUUGGAAAGGAGAAGACCCAUCUUUCUCUGAGCCUGGAGGGAAGGUGAAGAGAGUAGUGAAGGUGGAAGUUUUGGGGUGGAGUAGUGAAGGGGGAAGUUUAUAAUAAGGUCAUUGCAGUACAGUGGGAGCUGAAGUUAUCUGCAGAGAGAGGUUGGAAAGCGGCUUCAGACUUCACAAUUGAGAAGGCCAAAGGGAGUGUUAAGUGGGGUAUGACUACCAAGCUUCCAAAAUCUAUAGGGAGAAAGGAGCAAGCAUCAUCUGUGUGUCUUCAUAGGGAAAAGUCAGGACCAAUGGUCAUAUUUUUGGGGGAGGUAGAUUUCAGUUUAAUCUAGGCAAGACUGUUGAGGGAUCUUAGUUGACCGACAAUGGAUUGACCUCCCAGUCACUUUUCAGACUCAGGCUGCAAGCCCGUUCAUCAGGCAUGCUGUGCAUGGGCUUCUUGCCCUGGCAUGGAGCAUGGAUGCAAUGAGUUCCAUGUUCCCUCCUGGCCCUGAGACUUGAUAACUGCAGGAAUGACAGCCCACUUGAAGAGCAGGCAGUUGGGCUCACCUUUCUCACCCACCUCAGGACUGGAGGCAUGAGGUGGGGAGACUAGACGAGAUCAGCCCUGGGGAACGUACCAUCCCUAGGAAACUCUCCUCUGAGCCCUCCCUUGACUUCCACAGGUUCUUUCAGAGAGGCAGCUGUUGGGCUUGGAAAAGGCCCAAAGUCAAUACAGUAAUGACUUCCCCUCCUGGUCAUAUCCCAGGCCCCUCUGUGUCAUUCAGAAAUUGGCUAAUAAAGUUCACUUUGAUGUGAGAGGAGCCCUAUUAAGAAUUCCCCAAGAUUCCCCAAUCCCCUGAAAUCUGUCAAUAGGAGAAGAUAUGUUGGAGUGGCAUGCUGGAUGGGGGUCACCCCCUUUUGUGUCCCCAGUCCUUACCCUGGUGUCAGUUGAGGCUGAGAGCAAGGGGAGAGGAAAGGAGGAGGAAUCCCAUGAAGAAAGUAUGGCUGAAGCCUUAGCCAACCCCAAAGAGGACCCAGCUGGCAUGGCUACCCUCUUGCCCUAACCUGAGGCCAACCUCACCUCAGGCAGUGCUCCCAGGGUAGAUGGGAAGCCACAGCACCUAAUUACUAUGGUCAUCACGCUGGUGGCUGUGGUGAUUAUGAUGGUGCCUCUGUAUCCCACAGCGCUUAGCAACAUUUAAUUACUGUUAUUCCUAUGGAGAUCACUGCAGAGUCUUGGCUGCCAUUGCUCUUGGGGAUGGAGCAACUACACACAGCUGCACCCACUCCCCAGUCCAAUGAUCCACUGUGUUGAAGUGCUGCCAGGAUGGUUAACAGACACCAGCCUCUCCCUUGUGGGCCAUGGUGUCCCAGCGAUCUGCAUGGCUUUUGGGGCUGAGCUCUGAGAGGUGAUAGGAAGGCCCAAGUUCCAUCUUGAACCAUCUAACUCUCCAGAAAGAAGGGAAAUUGUUCUAUGCCUUGUGUCUGGUCAGAAGGCCCUCAGUAUACUUCUGUGAAUCAUGACGUCCCAAAUCCUAAAGAAUUCUGGUUGUGAGUAGAGGCGGCACUCCUGAUUAGGGAUGGGAGCACUUAAAACUCAACGGUGAUACUGAGAAGAGGGUUUCAUCCAGGAUCCGCAUAGACCGGAGAGCUUAGGUCAUGAAGAUGGGAAGGGACGGAGUGGAGCUUCUGUGUGGAGCAUGCCUUAUGUAGAAAGAUGAAAGGGAAAAGGGCUUUGAGAAAGGAAGAUACUCAACCUCCCACCCACACUUUCCUCCCUUUGAUGAUGCUCUUAUAUCCAGGGAUGGGUGUUAUGGUCAGGAUAAUUAUCAGGAUGGACUACUUGUCUAGAGGAACCAGAUUUUUCUUGCAAGUUAUGUGAAAACCAAGAAAUAGAAGGUAUUGUUAGGGAAGAGCAGAGUUCCUGGAUCAGCCCAACCCCAGCAGAAAAAGCUCAUGGUUGAUGCCUGCCUGGGAGUGGGGAGGUAAGGCUCGGGCUGUGGAGCUGUGGGUCUUGACUCUUUGGUCUCAGACCUUUUCGGGAUCUGAUGAGCGCUGUGUCCCUGAAAACUGCACAUACGCACAAGGACAGUGUUUGCAUGGCAACCUGCUGAAGCCCAGCUGGGGCCUUGAGUUAGGAAUCCCUGCUGAAGAAGGAGUGCUUUGGGAAGGAGGCAGCCCUGAGCCCAGACUCCCUGUGAUCUGGGCUAAUGACUGAUGCUAAUGACAUGGAGAACCCCAAAUGAGGAAAGUCCAACCCAGACCCUUCUAUAAUAUGAAGUGAAAAGAACAAGUAUUAUCCAUAGACUGCAUUAUAAUUCUGUAAAAAUAUACACUUAUAAAGAGAAAAAUGUGAAGGUGACAUGGAGAAAUGAAAAUAAUUUGUGGGUGAAGAGUUUUUAUUUUAUUUAAAAUUUACUUUAAUAUCAUUAUGAGGCUACUUUAAUAAUAGAUUUAAUUUUAUUUCUCUAUUAUGUAAAGUGCUUUUCCUGAAGAAAUGAGCUUUCAAAUUAUAUUUGAUUUAGGUUAAUAUUAAUGCCCUGUACAUCCUGAGUACAUGUUUCCAGAAAGAGGUGAUCCAGGAGGCUGCCAAGUGGCCUGCAGGUGACAUCCAGAGGGCAGAAAAUGCCCAUGCAGGUAACUGAAUUCUGAGGAACAUGAGACCACAUGCUACCAAGGAGGCAGCCAAGGGAGAGGAUGCUGUGUUCUGGAGUUAGGUUUGAGUCCUGGACCUGCCAUUUACUAACCGUGAAACCUGGAGUUUACCUGGGGCUGAGGAGGGGGUGGUUCCCAGGACACGGGACUUUCAGUGCUAAAAUUGGGAAGGUCCUAGGCAAAGUGGGACAAGUUGGUCACCCUAUUAAUAAGCUAUUAAUACCUCUGUCAGCCUCAGUCUCCUCACUUGUAAGAUGACACUGACGACUCCCAGGAUCUUUGUAAAGGCAUUUUGUAUGCCAUCUUCAUACCUGUUGGGGAUGAUGAUUAUCAUUGGUGGGGUGGGAUGGAGGAAGAGAGUGGGGAAAGGGGUGCUUCUCCCCAGCCUUGAGAUCUGAGAGACCAAGAGCCUGUCUGGAUGGGUAUCAUGAUUUGUAUAUGGAGAGCUUAAGACAACUGGUCUCUCACAACUGGCUUUUAACAAUAAUUCGUUCAAGAAAUGUGUAUGGACCACCUACAAUCAGAUCUGUGCUAGGCAUUUGGAUAUUCCGUGAAUGGCUGCAACAUGCUGUCUUCCUUCCUGGGACCAAAGUCUAAUGGGGGAGGCAAGGAUCCAUAAGGAAGUGGACAGCAGGGAAAGCUAGGGACUUCAGGAAUGUCAGGUGUGCAGGGACCCUUCCCUAGUCUAGGGGGUCAGGAAGGGUCAGGGCAUGUUCCUGCAGAGAUGAGUAGAGCUCCCUUGAGGGAUGAGGACUGGCUGGCCAGGGAUGUCAUGUUGUAGAGAAAUCAGGCACAGGAGAAGACAGCAAGAAGGCCCAGAGGCUGGGUGCUCCGAAGGACUGAGAGUAGUUCAUUCAGUCUGGCUGGUGCGGUGCAAGAGGUGAGUGUUAGAGAGGGGCCUGGGGAGUCACGUGCCCAUGUCAUGAGGGCCUUUGUGCUGCAUUAUGGAGUUUGGACUUCAUCCUGAGGGUCACAGGGAGCCGUGCAUGGUAGGGCUGUAGCCCAGCAAGCGUGUUUUAUACCUGGCCACUCAGCAGCCCCAACCCGUAUUGUGCUCAGAUGGCAUUCCUGGUCCAGGCUCUGGUUUGCCUGUUAGGCCCAGGUCCUCUGGGCUCUGUCUGUCUUGCUCUAAGGCUCUGAGCCUAGCCCAUCUGUGGAGCACUUCUGCAGCUCCAAACCUGGUGUAGUCAAUCUGGACAUUCCCCUGGCAGGGGUCUGCUGCCUGGCACAGACUGUGACUCCAGAGAGCAGAGUGGCACUCCCUCCCAAGCAUGCUGCUGUCACCACAGUGUGUCUGUGUGGGUUUGAUGGCUGCGUGGCAAUGGCGCUCAGGGCAUGCCGGGGGCUCACACAGCCCAGGCAGCUGAUGAUUAACAAACAAUUAUACUAAUCGGCCUAGGAACAGGAAGGCAGGUGUGCACCCCUAUGCAUGUGAAUGCACACACAUGCAUGCGCACACACAUUCAGAUUCACUGACAUUUAUGCCCAUCCUUUCAUUGAAACUCAGGCGAGCACAUGGAGAGAUUCCCUGCUACCUGGAUGAGAUGAAUAGGCAUUGUAUUAGUUUACAUGCCAUUACCUUCAUCAGAGACAUGCCCUUUCACCACUGACACAUGGAUGUCACAAAUGCUGUAUACACAGCCUCACAUAGAUGCCCGCACACCUACACUGGCCCAGACCCCUUCUCAUGCCUUUACAAACACAUUACAAGAAUUAAAAAGGAGCAUCCAUAUCAAGUGUCUAGCACAAUGCCUGGCCCAUAGGACCAUUAUAUUCUAUUGGAGCAAUUGACUGCGUUGGAGGGAAAAGCAAAUACCGAUUUCCUUUAGGACUGCCCAGCCUCAGACAGCUGGUCCUGGAAGGUCCUGAGGGUGGGGGGAUCCUGUUCCAUCAGGGCUGUCCUCAACUCUGUGCACUUUCUCUCCCCUCUGUCUAGGUCCACGUGUGGGUCCUUAAGCCCCUUGAGGAAAAGGGAGGAGAAAAGGACAAAGAAGGCUCUCCCUUUCCCUUGGAUCCCCUUCUACUCCCACAUGCCUAGUGGGAGCCUCCCUCUUCUGCUUGAGCCUUCAGGACAGGUUCAGGACCCUGUCUCCUACCUGGCUGGGCCAGAAAUGAGGAACAUGUUGCAAGCCUUCCUCCACCUGACUUGCCAAGUCCAUACAGGCUGGGGCCUUAGAUCCAACAACUUAGAAAGGUAAUGAGGGCAGCUUCCUUCAAAGGGCCAUGUUCAGUGGGGAGGUUGCCUGAUGAUGAAUGGAGAAGUGGAGUGAUGGCC
This 6931-nucleotide long non-coding RNA is filed under the name Homo sapiens (human). RNAcentral's name for it is "non-protein coding lnc-RNF26-1:14". Lineage: Eukaryota; Metazoa; Chordata; Mammalia; Primates; Hominidae. The record is from RNAcentral.